RNAcentral lists this ribosomal RNA (342 nucleotides) under uncultured Glomus. RNAcentral's name for it is "SSU rRNA". It matches the Rfam family "Eukaryotic small subunit ribosomal RNA", at positions 569 to 916 of the family's 1831-position model. Lineage: Eukaryota; Fungi; Glomeromycota; Glomeromycetes; Glomerales; Glomeraceae. The record is from RNAcentral.
AGCAGCCGCGGUAAUUCCAGCUCCAUAGCGUAUAUUAAAGUUGUUGCAGUUAAAAAGCUCGUAGUUGAAUUUCGGGGUCAGUAGAUUGGUCGUGCCACUGGUACGUACUGGUCUUACUGAUUCCUCCCUCCUGAUGAACUGUAAUGCCAUUAAUUUGGUGUUGCAGGGAAUCUGGACUGUUACUUUGACAAAAUUAGAGUGUUUAAAGCAGGCUAACGCUUGAAUACAUUAGCAUGGAAUAAUGAAAUAGGACGCUCGAUCCUAUUUUGUUGGUUUCUAGGAUUGACGUAAUGAUUAAUUAGGGAUAGUUGGGGCAUUAGUAUUCAAUUGUCAGAGGUGAAA